GUAAGGAAUAUUGGGCAAUGGAGGCAACUCUGACCCAGCCAUGCCGCGUGCAGGAAGACGGCCCUACGGGUUGUAAACUGCUUUUAAUAGGGAGUAAAAUCAGCUACGUGUAGUUGAUUGCAAGUACCUAUAGAAUAAGCAUCGGCUAACUCCGUGCCAGCAGCCGCGGUAAUACGGAGGAUGCAAGCGUUAUCCGGAUUUAUUGGGUUUAAAGGGUGCGCAGGCGGACUAAUAAGUCAGUGGUGAAAUUUACAUGCUUAACAUGUAUCGUGCCAUUGAUACUGUUAGACUAGUAUACAAAUGACGUAGCUGGAAUGUGUUAUGUAGCGGUGAAAUGCAUAGAUAUAACACAGAACACCGAUCGUGAAGACAGGUUACGAAUUUGUUAUAGACGCUCAGGCACGAAAGCGUGGGGAUCAAACAGGAUUAGAAACCCCAGUAGUCC
RNAcentral lists this ribosomal RNA (445 nucleotides) under uncultured bacterium. RNAcentral describes it as "bacterial SSU rRNA". It matches the Rfam family "Bacterial small subunit ribosomal RNA", at positions 354 to 796 of the family's 1533-position model. The record is from RNAcentral.